GGACUACAGGGGUUUCUAAUCCCUUUUGCUCCCCACGCUUUCGUGCCUGAGUGUCAGCAAUUGUCCAGGGAGCCGCCUUCGCCUCUGGUAUUCCUCACGAUAUCUACGCAUUUCACUGCUACACCGUGAAUUCUGCUCCCCUCUCCAAUGCUCUAGCCAAGUAGUUUGAGGUGCAAUUCCGGAGUUGAGCUCCGGGCUUUCACGCCUCACACACCUGGCCACCUGCGCACCCUUUACGCCCAGUGAAUCCGAAUAACGCUUGCAGUCUCUGUAUUACCGCGGCGGCUGGCAC
Molecule: ribosomal RNA, 292 nt
Filed under: uncultured Verrucomicrobiota bacterium
Lineage: Bacteria; Pseudomonadati; Verrucomicrobiota
Description: uncultured Verrucomicrobia bacterium partial 16S ribosomal RNA
Source: RNAcentral